GCUCGGGGGUCCCAGUUCCGAAC
This 23-nucleotide small nuclear RNA is filed under the name Arabidopsis thaliana (thale cress). RNAcentral describes it as "snRNA_18364". The record is from RNAcentral. Lineage: Eukaryota; Viridiplantae; Streptophyta; Magnoliopsida; Brassicales; Brassicaceae.